GAUGAACGCUGGCGGCGUGCCUAAUACAUGCAAGUCGAGCGAACGGACGAGAAGCUUGCUUCUCUGAUGUUAGCGGCGGACGGGUGAGUAACACGUGGAUAACCUACCUAUAAGACUGGGAUAAAUUCGGGAAACCGGAGCUAAUACCGGAUAAUAUUUUGAACCGCAUGGUUCAAAAGUGAAAGACGGUCUUGCUGUCACUUAUAGAUGGAUCCGCGCUGCAUUAGCUAGUUGGUAAGGUAACGGCUUACCAAGGCAACGAUGCAUAGCCGACCUGAGAGGGUGAUCGGCCACACUGGAACUGAGACACCGUCCAGACUCCUACGGGAGGCAGCAGUAGGGAAUCUUCCGCAAUGGGCGAAAGCAUGACGGAGCAACGCCGCGUGAGUGAUGACGGUCUUCGGAUCGUAAAACUCUGUUAUUAGGGAAGAACAUAUGUGUAAGUAACUGUGCACAUCUUGACGGUACCUAAUCAGAAAGCCACGGCUAACUACGUG
Molecule: ribosomal RNA, 497 nt
Filed under: uncultured bacterium
Lineage: Bacteria
Description: partial 16S ribosomal RNA
Rfam family: Bacterial small subunit ribosomal RNA
Source: RNAcentral